This 1357-nucleotide ribosomal RNA is filed under the name uncultured bacterium. RNAcentral describes it as "bacterial SSU rRNA". It matches the Rfam family "Bacterial small subunit ribosomal RNA", at positions 28 to 1381 of the family's 1533-position model. The record is from RNAcentral.
GAUGAACGCUAGCUACAGGCUUAACACAUGCAAGUCGAGGGGCAGCAUGAACUUAGCUUGCUAAGUUUGAUGGCGACCGGCGCACGGGUGAGUAACACGUAUCCAACCUGCCGAUGACUCGGGGAUAGCCUUUCGAAAGAAAGAUUAAUACCCGAUGGCAUAGUUCUUCCGCACGGUGGAACUAUUAAAGAAUUUCGGUCAUCGAUGGGGAUGCGUUCCAUUAGGUUGUUGGCGGGGUAACGGCCCACCAAGCCUUCGAUGGAUAGGGGUUCUGAGAGGAAGGUCCCCCACAUUGGAACUGAGACACGGUCCAAACUCCUACGGGAGGCAGCAGUGAGGAAUAUUGGUCAAUGGACGAGAGUCUGAACCAGCCAAGUAGCGUGAAGGAUGACUGCCCUAUGGGUUGUAAACUUCUUUUAUACGGGAAUAAAGUGAGGCACGUGUGCCUUUUUGUAUGUACCGUAUGAAUAAGGAUCGGCUAACUCCGUGCCAGCAGCCGCGGUAAUACGGAGGAUCCGAGCGUUAUCCGGAUUUAUUGGGUUUAAAGGGAGCGUAGGCGGACGCUUAAGUCAGUUGUGAAAGUUUGCGGCUCAACCGUAAAAUUGCAGUUGAUACUGGGUGUCUUGAGUACAGUAGAGGCAGGCGGAAUUCGUGGUGUAGCGGUGAAAUGCUUAGAUAUCACGAAGAACUCCGAUUGCGAAGGCAGCUUGCUGGACUGUAACUGACGCUGAUGCUCGAAAGUGUGGGUAUCAAACAGGAUUAGAUACCCUGGUAGUCCACACAGUAAACGAUGAAUACUCGCUGUUUGCGAUAUACAGUAAGCGGCCAAGCGAAAGCGUUAAGUAUUCCACCUGGGGAGUACGCCGGCAACGGUGAAACUCAAAGGAAUUGACGGGGGCCCGCACAAGCGGAGGAACAUGUGGUUUAAUUCGAUGAUACGCGAGGAACCUUACCCGGGCUUGAAUUGCAACUGAAUGAUGUGGAGACAUGCCAGCCGCAAGGCAGUUGUGAAGGUGCUGCAUGGUUGUCGUCAGCUCGUGCCGUGAGGUGUCGGCUUAAGUGCCAUAACGAGCGCAACCCUUAUCGAUAGUUACCAUCAGGUUAUGCUGGGGACUCUGUCGAGACUGCCGUCGUAAGAUGUGAGGAAGGUGGGGAUGACGUCAAAUCAGCACGGCCCUUACGUCCGGGGCUACACACGUGUUACAAUGGGGGGUACAGAAGGCAGCUACACGGCGACGUGAUGCUAAUCCCGAAAGCCUCUCUCAGUUCGGAUUGGAGUCUGCAACCCGACUCCAUGAAGCUGGAUUCGCUAGUAAUCGCGCAUCAGCCACGGCGCGGUGAAUACGUUCCCGGGCCU